GGGCAUGUAGUGUAGGGGUUAUCGCGCCUCAUUCGCAUUGAGGAGGUCUCCGGUUCAAUUCCGGACUUGUCCA
This 73-nucleotide transfer RNA is filed under the name Rhizoctonia solani AG-1 IA. RNAcentral describes it as "tRNA-Ala (CGC) (tRNA-Ala-CGC-2-1)". It matches the Rfam family "tRNA". Rfam says of the family: Transfer RNA (tRNA) molecules are approximately 80 nucleotides in length. Their secondary structure includes four short double-helical elements and three loops (D, anti-codon, and T loops). Further hydrogen bonds mediate the characteristic L-shaped molecular structure. tRNAs have two regions of fundamental functional importance: the anti-codon, which is responsible for specific mRNA codon recognition, and the 3' end, to which the tRNAs corresponding amino acid is attached (by aminoacyl-tRNA synthetases). tRNAs cope with the degeneracy of the genetic code in two manners: having more than one tRNA (with a specific anti-codon) for a particular amino acid; and 'wobble' base-pairing, i.e. permitting non-standard base-pairing at the 3rd anti-codon position. Lineage: Eukaryota; Fungi; Basidiomycota; Agaricomycetes; Cantharellales; Ceratobasidiaceae. The record is from RNAcentral.